This 125-nucleotide small RNA is filed under the name Marmota monax (woodchuck). The record is from RNAcentral. Lineage: Eukaryota; Metazoa; Chordata; Mammalia; Rodentia; Sciuridae.
GCUGGGUGUGGUGGUGCACGCCCGUAAUCCCCAUGGCUCAGGAGGCUGAGACAGGAGGAUUUCAAGUUCAAAGCCAGCCUCAUCUAAAGCAAAGUGCUAAGCAACUCAGUGAGACCCUGUCUAUA